GACGAACGCUGGCGGCGUGCUUAACACAUGCAAGUCGAACGGAAAGGCCCUGCUUUUGUGGGGUGCUCGAGUGGCGAACGGGUGAGUAACACGUGAGUAACCUGCCCUUGACUUUGGGAUAACUUCAGGAAACUGGGGCUAAUACCGGAUAGGAGCUCCUGCUGCAUGGUGGGGGUUGGAAAGUUUCGGCGGUUGGGGAUGGACUCGCGGCUUAUCAGCUUGUUGGUGGGGUAGUGGCUUACCAAGGCUUUGACGGGUAGCCGGCCUGAGAGGGUGACCGGCCACAUUGGGACUGAGAUACGGCCCAGACUCCUACGGGAGGCAGCAGUGGGAAAUAUUGCACAAUGGGCGGAAGCCUGAUGCAGCAACUCCGCGUGCGGGAUGACGGCCUUCGGGUUGUAAACCGCUUUCGCCUGUGACGAAGCGUGAGUGACGGUAAUGGGUAAAGAAGCACCGGCUAACUACGUG
Molecule: ribosomal RNA, 468 nt
Filed under: uncultured bacterium
Lineage: Bacteria
Description: partial 16S ribosomal RNA
Rfam family: Bacterial small subunit ribosomal RNA
Source: RNAcentral